GAGCGUUUACCACGAAAAAUAUACAACAUGAAUACUCGAACAUGCACAAUCAAACUUCGUGCGUAUUUUGAAUAAUUACUUCAUUAGAAAUAAUUAAAUGUUUAUCUGAUAACUAAAUUAACUCAUCACUUAUAUACAAAUUAUAUAGAUGAGAAUUCGGAGAGGAUAUUCUUGAUAGUCCAGGCACUACAGAGCCCCCAGCUACCAGACUUUGGUCCCCAAAGUUAUAUGAAAUGAAGCAUUAAAAAAAACUUGCAAGCUCAUAAAUAUCGCAAUAUUGAGAGUCUGAGAAGAAUAACACACACUGGUUACAUUCAAUGGAACAUCAUUCAUUCAAGGCCAUUUUUCACAGAUGUUGGCUGAUCAGCACCUGAUGCAUACGUUGUAGAACUGCUGCCUCCAAAGUUGGAAUACGGUUUAUACACAUGUACAACCACACAAGUUCUCCUUCACAAUCAUCCAAAAACGUAGUCCAAAGAAUAGCAUUUCCCAAGAUUCGCAGAGUUUAUUUUCACCAAUAAAAUCUUUACUUCAAAUUCUA
Long non-coding RNA from Ostrea edulis (European flat oyster), 541 nucleotides. RefSeq lists it as uncharacterized. Lineage: Eukaryota; Metazoa; Mollusca; Bivalvia; Ostreida; Ostreidae. The record is from RefSeq and is a predicted model, not a curated record. The transcript is spliced from 5 exons.